UGCCAGCAGCCGCGGUAAUACGGAGGGUGCAAGCGUUGUUCGGAAUUAUUGGGCGUAAAGCGCGUGUAGGCGGUUCGUUAAGUCUGAUGUGAAAGCCCGGGGCUCAACCCCGGAAGUGCAUUUGAAACUGGAUGGCUUGAGUACUGGAGGGGGUGGUGGAAUUCCCGGUGUAGAGGUGAAAUUCGUAGAUAUCGGGAGGAAUACCGGUGGCGAAGGCGACCACCUGGCCAGAUACUGACGCUGAGACGCGAAAGCGUGGGGAGCAAACAGGAUUAGAUA
Molecule: ribosomal RNA, 279 nt
Filed under: uncultured bacterium
Lineage: Bacteria
Description: partial 16S ribosomal RNA
Rfam family: Bacterial small subunit ribosomal RNA
Source: RNAcentral